UGGGGAAUCUUGCGCAAUGGGCGAAAGCCUGACGCAGCCAUGCCGCGUGAGUGAUGUAGGCCUUAGGGUUGUAAAACUCUUUCACCAGGGACGAUAAUGACGGUACCCGGAGAAGAAGCCCCGGCUAACUUCGUGCCAGCAGCCGCGGUAAUACGAAGGGGGCUAGCGUUGCUCGGAGUUACUGGGCGUAAAGGGCGCGUAGGCGGAUCAGCAAGUUGGGGGUGAAAGCCCGGGGCUCAACCUCGGAAUUGCCUUCAAAACUGCUGAUCUAGAGUACGGGAGAGGUGUGUGGAACUCCGAGUGUAGAGGUGAAAUUCGUAGAUAUUCGGAAGAACACCAGUGGCGAAGGCGACACACUGGCCCGUUACUGACGCUGAGGCGCGAAAGCGUGGGGAGCAAACAGGAUUAGAUACCCUGGUAGUCCACGCUGUAAACGAUGAUUGCUAGUUGUCGGCAGGCAUGCCUGUCGGUGACGCAGCUAACGCAUUAAGCAAUCCGCCUGGGGAGUACGGUCGCAAGAUUAAAAACUCAAA
RNAcentral lists this ribosomal RNA (533 nucleotides) under uncultured bacterium. RNAcentral's name for it is "partial 16S ribosomal RNA". It matches the Rfam family "Bacterial small subunit ribosomal RNA", at positions 355 to 905 of the family's 1533-position model. The record is from RNAcentral.